UAAGGAAUAUUGGUCAAUGGACGCAAGUCUGAACCAGCCAUGCCGCGUGAAGGAUGAAGGUCCUCUGGAUUGUAAACUUCUUUUAUAGGGGAAGAAACCCGGAAAUUCUUUUCCGGUUGACGGUACCCUGGGAAUAAGCACCGGCUAACUCCGUGCCAGCAGCCGCGGUAAUACGGAGGGUGCAAGCGUUAUCCGGAUUCACUGGGUUUAAAGGGUGCGUAGGUGGGUCUGUAAGUCAGUGGUGAAAUCUCCAAGCUUAACUUGGAAACUGCCGUUGAUACUAUAGCUCUUGAAUGUUGUGGAGGUGAGCGGAAUAUGUCAUGUAGCGGUGAAAUGCUUAGAUAUGACAUAGAACACCAAUUGCGAAGGCAGCUCACUACACAAAUAUUGACACUGAGGCACGAAAGCGUGGGGAUCAAACAG
This 423-nucleotide ribosomal RNA is filed under the name uncultured bacterium. RNAcentral's name for it is "bacterial SSU rRNA". It matches the Rfam family "Bacterial small subunit ribosomal RNA", at positions 355 to 775 of the family's 1533-position model. The record is from RNAcentral.